Molecule: long non-coding RNA, 1361 nt
Organism: Pecten maximus
Lineage: Eukaryota; Metazoa; Mollusca; Bivalvia; Pectinida; Pectinidae
Exons: 2
Source: RefSeq, a predicted model, not a curated record
CCAAUAAGGGGUCACGUUCUGAUGACCUUUGGGAUGUGUGUAUAUCACUUUCAGGACGAAUUGGCAUUUUUUCGAUGUCAUUGAAGCAAAACAUUUCGUCACAGCAUGCAUCUGAAGCAAACCAUUUCGGCACAGUAUAUAGCUGUAUGCUUUUUGGGACGAAAUGACUUGAAACAAAUUGACAGACUACACACUCUAAGUCAUGCUAAUUCUGACAUAUAAAAUUCACUUCCAAGAUUCUGGAAGUAGCCAUUUGAUUGGCUAAUCCAAAAGGUCACCCUGACGUGACCCCUUAUGGGAUGUUGUUAGAUGUUCAUGUAAUGUAGUGAGAAUGACCAUCUAGAUUUUAAUUAGAUUGAUAUGUUGUUGGCCAGUGCCUAGAGCUGGCCUAUAGGUUAUUAGACAGUGCCUAAAGCUGGCCUAUAUAGUGUUAGUCAUUGCCUAGAGCUGGCCUAUAUGUUGUUGGUCAUUGCCUAGAGCUGGCCUAUAUGUUAUUGGUCAGUGCCUAGAGCUGGCCUAUAGGUUGUUGGUCAUUGCCUAGAGCUGGCCUAUAUGUUAUUGGUCAGUGCCUAGAGCUGGCCUAUAGGUUGUUGGUCAUUGCCUAGAGCUGGCCUAUAUGUUAUUGGUCAGUACCUAGAGCUGGCCUAUAUGUUAUUGGUCAGUGCCUAGAGCUGGCCUAUAUGUUAUUGGUCAGUACCUAGAGCUGGCCUAUAUGUUGUUGGUCAUUGCCUAGAGCUGGCCUAUAUGUUGUUGGUCAUUGCCUAGAGCUGGCCUAUAUGUUAUUGGUCAGUACCUAGAGCUGGCCUAUAGGUUAUUGGUCAGCGCCUAGAGCUGGCCUAUAUGUUAUUGGUCAGUACCUAGAGCUGGCCUAUAUGUUGUUGGUCAUUGCCUAGAGCUGGCCUAUAUGUUAUUGGUCAGUACCUAGAGCUGGCCUAUAUGUUAUUGGUCAGUGCCUAGAGCUGGCCUAUAUGUUAUUGGUCAGUGCCUAGAGCUGGCCUAUAUGUUGUUGGUCAUUGCCUAGAGCUGGCCUAUAUGUUGUUGGUCAUUGCCUAGAACUGACCUAUAUCUUAUUGGUCAUUGCCUAGAACUGGCUGAUAUGUUGUUGGUCAGUGCCUAGUGCUGGCCUAGAUGUUGUACGUCAGUGCCUAGUGCUGGCCUACUGUAUAUAUGUUAUUGUUCAGUGCCUAGCGCUGGCCUACAAUUUGUUAGUCAGUGCCUAGCACUGGCCUACAUGUUGUUGGUCAUUGCCUAGAGCUGGUCUAUAUGUUGUUGUUCAGUGCCUAGAGCUGGCCUAUAUGUUGUCAAUCUAAUUAAAAUCUAGAUGGUCAUUCUCACUACGUUGCAUGAACAUCUAACAACAU